UCUCCCCGAGCGUGUCCUGCCUUCAUUUCCGCUGCCGGUGACUGCGCGCGCGACACAUGACGCGCCGCCGUCAGGGGAUGCCUCCUCGGAAAGCUCGCACCCACCCCUCCCCCCCGGGUGUCCUUCCUCUUCUUCCCCGCCGGUGCCUCCGCCACGACCACCGCGGGAGGAGGCGAGGAGGUGCAUCUCAAGGCGCCGCAGUCGGAGCACAUAGCGGCGGUGAAGAAGGACGCGUCCGGGUGGCGGCUCUGGCUCUCCGACGCAUCCGGCAACGCGCUCCAGGGCUGGGCACCCCGUUGCUCCGUCGCCUUCCACAAGAUCGAGAAGAUUGUUAUCCUGAUUUAUAUCCAGUACCAUUUCCUUACUGAUCAAUGACAAGUAAAAACAGUACUAAGACAAAUACAAUUCUCCUUCCAAGUGACGCUGGCAGCCCGGCAUCUUUCGUAUCCUAGGCUCUCAAGAUAUACCAGCAUACUAUUAAGUCCAAGCCCCAGAUGGGAGCUGGCCAUGCCCUACAAAAGCUGGAGGAAUCCGAAGGAGAGACCGAUCCUGCUACCCUACGUUCUGAGACUAGCAACAUGCCCCUACUCUCCCCGGAAGCAGAUCCUGGAAAGACCUUUUCCCUGCAGCGCCGCAAAAACAAGCAUUAAGUUGUGCUUGAGUACCUGAAGGAAGCCCUUUUUUGUCUAUUGUUCUGCAAACAUUGAGAAGUGUCACUGAGAACACCAGUAGCCACUAUGGCAAUGGCUAAACAUGGUGCUUCUCUCUCUUCCUCCACUGCUGUUGCAAAGAGUUUAAUAUAAAAGAGGUCAAUAAAACAACUCAUUACAAAGCCAAACGAUGUAAUGUCAAGUUUAUUAAAUACAAAAGCUGGACAGUAAAAUAAGAAAAUUUGACAUCAUAUUACUAAAUUCUUCUUAUCAGCUAUGUAAUGUCAAGUUUUAUAUAUUCAUAUAUUUAUGUUCUUAGUCUCUUAUGUUUCUUUGCAGCUCCCUAAGAAGAUCUUAACAUAUGAAAUGACAGCAUGAUGACAUCCUUUUGUAUAUAAAGACUGCAUUUUGGUGGAUGCGGUUCCUCUGCAGUACUGCAUAGUGCU
Molecule: long non-coding RNA, 1096 nt
Organism: Phragmites australis (common reed)
Lineage: Eukaryota; Viridiplantae; Streptophyta; Magnoliopsida; Poales; Poaceae
Exons: 4
Source: RefSeq, a predicted model, not a curated record